GCUCUGUAAGUGGGGAGGUGCACUGCGGACAGUCCCGUUCCGGGCCUUGAAGUUAGUGACACUUCCCCCCCAGAGACACGACCGCACUCCUCAGAUCAGGCCGGCGGCAGACACCUGUUCACACGGGCGCCUUCCACAGCCACAGACGGAGUUGAGAGCGGCGAGUCCAGAGCCACCAAUUACCUAUCUCCUGCAACUCAUCCCUCCCGCAUAGCCACCUGGGGUACCCCUGCAUUGCCUGCAUUGUCGGAAGAUCACCACAAACCCUCCCCCCUCUCGAGAAAGGACCAAGCUGUGGAAACAGACUCAUUUACCGUGACCCCCACAAUACUGAAUAGUGAAUAUAAGCCUACACAGGAACACAGGUGUCAUCACAACAGUACAAAGUCCACCCAGAACGUGUGAAUGUGUAUGACACUUUAUGACAAGAGAUAAACAUUUUUGAAAUGAACUUGAGAAUUCCGUGAAAUUAUUUCAACAGAAGGGAGGAGCCAGUUGUUACAGUUGCUUUCACUAUCCAUGGAAAGUUCUGCAGAGCAACCGGAGACUGAGCAAGGGCUGCCAGCAGGCUAUAACCCAGGAGGCCGUGCCAACUUGCUAGGGUGAAGGUCAAGUAUAGGAAGAAGAGAUGGUGAGGACAGCCCGGGACGCCCUAGUGACCGCCCUGGAAAACUUGGAGAAGAAGGAACUAUAGACGUUCAGGAACAAGCUGUAUGACUGGCCAAACAAAGAGGGAACUAGAAAGAUCCAAGAGGCCAGCUAGAGGACAAAUGCCCUGAUGACGUUGUUAAUAAGAUCAGGGAAUUCUACACGUUUCCCUAUGGGAUCCAGGUGGUCUUGGAAGUUCUAGAAGCUAUAGCCGAGAAGGAAGUGGCGGCAA
This is a long non-coding RNA of Pseudophryne corroboree (corroboree frog), 880 nucleotides long. RefSeq lists it as uncharacterized. The transcript has 3 exons. Lineage: Eukaryota; Metazoa; Chordata; Amphibia; Anura; Myobatrachidae. The record is from RefSeq and is a predicted model, not a curated record.